This 1016-nucleotide long non-coding RNA is filed under the name Prunus dulcis (almond). Its description in RNAcentral is "sRNA ncRNA". The record is from RNAcentral. Lineage: Eukaryota; Viridiplantae; Streptophyta; Magnoliopsida; Rosales; Rosaceae.
CCUAUUUGGGCCUGUAAAGUUCCUGUUGGACUAGUUGUUAAACCCCUAAGCUGGGUUUUCUUGAUUAAAGUUUAGUUGAGAUUUUUACAAAAUGCUAGUUUGGGCAUUUAAAUCUCUUAAAUUUUUUUUGUCAGUUAAGGGCUUCGGAAUCAGAAUCUUCCGAAAAUUUCCAAAUUUUUUCGGAAUCGGAAUCGGAACUCUAUAUUGAAUUCCAAAAGAUAUUGGAUUGGAAUUGGAAUUGCUAUUUCCGAUCCGAUCCGGCCGAAAGACAGCCCAUGUCGUUAACUUCAUCUAAAACUCUCUUAAAAUUGAUUAUGUUGCAAGGAUAUUUUUAUAGUUUCAUACACAUAGAUCAUUAUCCACUAAUUGAAGAGUGACAUGGCAAGUGGAGCCCACCUCCACACACAUAAAAAUGUAAUUAGAUGUUCUAAUUAUUAAAACUAAUUAAAAUAAAAAACACAAAAUAAAAUUAGAUCCCAGCCGCCCAACCUCCAUCCCCACGCCCUUCGUCUCCUGCAAAUACCUUGGAAGAAAGAAACUCAUCCCGCCCCUAUCUCAGCCUCCCAAGCUCUCAUCCCCAUCUCAACCUCAACACCCAAUUUCAAAUCUGGGUUAUUUGAAACCCAGCCCCCUCUCCCCAGCUCUCUCUCUCUCUCUCUCUCGCUCUCUCUCGCACAGAUUAGCAGCUUCAACCAUCCCCAUCAUCAUUACCUGCGUACCCAUCUCCUACCCAUCGGAAACUGGAGCCGUGCUUUGUGAGACCUCGUUACAAAUUUGGAGGCCUUUGGUUUCCCCUGCCUCCCUUCGUCAAACCAUCUUCUGGGUAUUCAUGGAUUUUGAUCCAUUUUUGUUGUAUGGUGGAUUGGUUGGUUGGGGUAUGGGCUGUGGAUGAUUGGAUCUAGUGAGGGAAAAGGGAAAUUAUGGCUGUAGGGAGAGAAAGUUGGGGCUGUGGGGUGGGAAGCAAAAGGAGAUGCGAUGCUUUUGUUUUCUUACUAAUAAUUUAAUUUUUAAUUUCU